Non-coding RNA from Lepisosteus oculatus (spotted gar), 567 nucleotides. The record is from RefSeq and is a predicted model, not a curated record. NCBI's taxonomy places the organism in Eukaryota, Metazoa, Chordata, Actinopteri, Semionotiformes, Lepisosteidae.
GCAACGUCACGACGCGUCGGUUGAAGACUUCAUCGUCGGUUAAACCGAAAACGUGAGAACAACAACAACAACAACAACGUUGCUUUUAUUUAAUAACGCGGACAUAAAAACACCACUAACCAGAGCCAUCGACGUGUCACGUCCAACGGGGGUCGGUUGAGGCUCAGAAGAGUGACGGAAACGAAUCGUUUACUAACUUGAGUUUAACCGUCCCUCCCAACCGGUCUGGUCCAGGGUGACGUUGCAUCUCGGUGGGCUGAGAAGUGGUGACCGGGAUUAAGGACUCGGGCGGCUCCGGAUCCUCGGACCUUCCGAGGGAGGCCGGCUCUUCGCCCUGCUGCAAAACCCGCUGACGGUGCCGUAAACAAGGUGGGAAGGCCAAGGAUGAGAGGGAGCUGAGAGGUCAGGAGAGGCAGACGGCUUUACUGCUUCAUGCUAAUAAUUGACGUGCAGAAAAAAGAGAGUUAAAAACUGCCCCAAGGGGCUGAAGAAAAAGGGGGAGGUAGGCCAGAAGUAAGAGCCCCAGUGUUAUAAAAUUGCUUCUUUUUUGGAUUCACAAUAGCCGGC